CAAAUACCCCUUCCAAUGUCCAUCCUUUCAUAAAGAAAGUUUGUUCCCUUGGAGUUAUUUUUAUCUUCUUCAUUUGACUUCUCCUUUGACUACAAUAGUCAUGGUCCCUAAACUCCCACUAUCUCUCUUGAAACUUAUUUCAAUUGUGUUAUACACAUCAAACAUUUUGGAGAGUAUGUGGUUAUUGUUCACUACAUAGUUUACAAUAAACUUAGUGAACCAUUAGGAUAGGGACACAUAGGUG
RNAcentral lists this long non-coding RNA (244 nucleotides) under Malus domestica (apple). RNAcentral describes it as "long non-coding RNA (MDOM_LNC015205)". Lineage: Eukaryota; Viridiplantae; Streptophyta; Magnoliopsida; Rosales; Rosaceae. The record is from RNAcentral.